GUGCUCGCUUUGGCAGCACAUAUACUAAAAUUGGAACGAUACAGAGAAGAUUAGCAUGGCCCAGGCAAAUUCGUGAAGCGUUCCAUAUUUUU
This 92-nucleotide small nuclear RNA is filed under the name Prolemur simus (greater bamboo lemur). Lineage: Eukaryota; Metazoa; Chordata; Mammalia; Primates; Lemuridae. The record is from RNAcentral.